CCUACGGGAGACAGCAGUGAGGAAUAUUGGUCAAUGGCCGAGAGACUGAACCAGCCAAGUCGCGUUAGGGAAGACGGCCCUACGGGUUGUAAACCUCUUUUGUCGGGGAGCCAAGCGAACCACGUGUGGUUCAUUGAGAGUACCCGAAUAAAAAGCAUCGGCUAACUCCGUGCCAGCAGCCGCGGUAAUACGGAGGAUGCGAGAGUUAUCCGGAUUUAUUGGGUUUAAAGGGUGCGCAGGCGGAGGUGCAAGUCAGCGGUCAAAUUGCGGGGCUCAACCCCGUACUGCCGUUGAACCUGCAUCCCUUGAGUGUGCGAGAAGUAUGCGGAAUGCGUGGGGUAGCGGUGAAAUGCAUAGAUAUCACGCAGAACUCCGAUUGCGAAGGCAGCAUACCGGCGCGCAACUGACGCUCAUGCACGAAAGCGUGGGUAUCGAACAGGAUUAGAUACCCAAGUAGUC
This 459-nucleotide ribosomal RNA is filed under the name uncultured bacterium. RNAcentral's name for it is "partial 16S ribosomal RNA". It matches the Rfam family "Bacterial small subunit ribosomal RNA", at positions 338 to 795 of the family's 1533-position model. The record is from RNAcentral.